Non-coding RNA from Pelobates cultripes (western spadefoot toad), 116 nucleotides. The record is from the annotation of a GenBank genome assembly. Lineage: Eukaryota; Metazoa; Chordata; Amphibia; Anura; Pelobatidae.
CUGAAAACCUCCCAAUGCCCGCACCUGCCAAGCAGCAUGCUGAUUUAAACAUUGUGAAAAUAUGCUCUCGCAUGCUGCUUGGCAGGUGCGGGCAUUGGGAGGUUUUCAGCUUCCCU